CGAAGGGUGCAAGCGUUACUCGGAAUUACUGGGCGUAAAGCGUGCGUAGGCGGUUUGUUAAGUCUGAUGUGAAAUCCCCGGGCUCAACCUGGGACGUGCAUUGGGAAACUGGCGAUCUAGAGUACGGUAGAGGGUGGUGGAAUUCCCGGUGUAGCAGUGAAAUGCGUAGAGAUCGGGAGGAACACUCGUGGCGAAGGCGGCCACCUGGACCAGUACUGACGCUGAGGCACGAAAGCGUGGGGAGCAAACAGGAUU
RNAcentral lists this ribosomal RNA (255 nucleotides) under uncultured bacterium. RNAcentral's name for it is "partial 16S ribosomal RNA". It matches the Rfam family "Bacterial small subunit ribosomal RNA", at positions 526 to 779 of the family's 1533-position model. The record is from RNAcentral.